RNAcentral lists this long non-coding RNA (216 nucleotides) under Carica papaya (papaya). RNAcentral describes it as "long non-coding RNA (CPAP_LNC008586)". Lineage: Eukaryota; Viridiplantae; Streptophyta; Magnoliopsida; Brassicales; Caricaceae. The record is from RNAcentral.
UUCUGUUAAGCUCGUUAAGCUUUAGUUGUAAUUUCAGUUAAAUAGGAAAGAUGGUGUACACUUGAAUGAAAAACAUAUAUUCUCUCUCCUCAAACACAAAUAAGUAAACACACACACACACAGAGGCAAUGCUGGUGGAGAAAGUGAUAUUCCCUGCACCAUCGGGGCUGAUGAUGGCGAUUAUAGCGAUAACAUUGAUAGGAAUGACGAAUUUAG